CUGGCCCUAAAGGUAGAAGACGUUCCGUAAAAGUUCGAGUAGUGUUUAUAUGUAAAAACUUGUAUUAUAUUUAUCAUAAACGUGAAAUAUUUUUUAAAAAAUUUUUAAAAUUUUUUUAUUUAUUUAAUUUUUUACAAAGGUAGGAAAAUUACUCAGAGGAGACAGGUGCAACACCUUAGCUACACAGAAAGGAACUAGGACAGCCUUUGAUGUUAGCUAGCAACAGCUAUGGCUGCUGUGAAGCCUGCAGUGUUGUUUGCAACACGGUAGUCCAAGAAACAAGUGACUUAUCAAGUCGGCAGCAUGACAUGAUUCCUGUUCCAUCAUUUCCCUCUGAUUCCUCUCAGAUAUUCAGGAUGCACCCAUCUACAACACAGCUCUAUAUCACUGUCUCACAAAUGAGCUUUAACACGGCUUCGCUUUGGCCUGGAAAGAGCGUGUCACUGAGUGAGGCUGUCGGCUACGCACCGAGAAAACAGCGAACCAAAAGUUCUAAUUGAACUGCCAAUUUGUCAUGUUUAUCUUUGCUGUCUUCCACCAGACACCAAACCGCACAUGCGGCAGCCGCCACAUCCCCUUCCUGGAAACCGGCACAGAUGUAAGCAGUGUUUCUUUCCAUGACAGAUCUGCUGCUCAUUAGUGAAUUAUGCAUUCUUUUCAUUAGAGUCUAACAGAUAGCAUCACAAGCAUCCAGACUUUGUAUUUCUAUUCUUUGUGCCGUUGUCUUGCUGAAUUUUUUGGGGGUGUUUUUCUUUUUUUGCCCUCAAUUUUUUUCCCUUCUUCCACCACUAUGUCCUCGUGGCCUAUGGCUCCUCUGCACUAUCUAUGCCUCGUCUCUUUCUCCGUCUCUGCUCUCUCACUCUCUCCUGGGAAGACUUUAUUAUGCUUUGCUCUGACAGCAAAGUACACAGAUAAAAGAUAAUUGCCUGGCUUGACUCCUCCAUUGAUAUGAAAAUAGGAUUUAAAUUAUUCACAGUGGUUUAAAGGUUAGUUGAAGGUUAUUACUGGGAGAUAGAAGUAGAAAAGAACAAGGUAAGACAAAAAUAAAUAAAUAAAUAAAUAAAAGAGGGGAAAAAAAAAAUCUUGUGCGUUGCAAGCUGUGGCCGGAAGGUGAGGUGCUUUUCUGAAAGACUCAUUUGCAAUGCAUGCAGUGGAGACAUCUUGCGAACAAACCACAAAAGCCUCUCAGGGGGAUUUGAACAUGGUGGUGGAAGUCAGCUAUUAAGCAGCAAAUUAAGGGUGGCUUCUCCACAGCAAAACAUUGUCAGUUGUAAAUAAGGCUGUAUCGGAUCCUUGCCCACGCUCUAAUCCUUUUCAUUCGUCUCCUGUCUAGCCUUGCAUAGCGUUUCAUUUUUCAUGCAAAGCCAUCGGUGCACGUUAGGUAAUACACCGCUCCUUUCUUGUGAAGACAGAAAAGGUUGAAGUGUUGGGUUUAAAUCGGGGCCAGUUCUGUUGGGAGACUGGCUUGUUUUGCACUGGACAUGAUAGACUCAGGAGGGGGUGAGGCAGAAUUACCUGCUCUGUUGUUGUUGCCAGCCUCCCCGAGGACACGUUCGCUGAUCAAAGCAGGGGUUUGUGGGAUAAAUAGAAGAGGGGAGAGGUUAUGAGGAGUCCUUUUUCCGCGCCCAUUGUAUUACCUCUUCAAUGGCUUGUGUGUCUGAAGGGCUUUGCGAUGCCUGCAGACAGGAUUCAGACAUUUCUUACACGGGAAGGCUGCGGUAGGUGGUCUGUAAACAAAAC
This 1740-nucleotide long non-coding RNA is filed under the name Oreochromis niloticus (Nile tilapia). RNAcentral describes it as "lncRNA (ENSONIG00000042496.1)". Lineage: Eukaryota; Metazoa; Chordata; Actinopteri; Cichliformes; Cichlidae. The record is from RNAcentral.